UCUGUACUGUGUCAAGUCAUUUUGCCCUAGCCCCUUCCAUUCCCGAUUCCUCUUCUUUGAGUUCUCUCGAGUCUCGACUCUGUCUUUUUCAAUUUCGCUCUCGCUAGUUGCCUUUCUCUAGUCUCCGAUUUAGUCUCCGGCGGUCCGGCCUCCGCGACUCCGCCUCUUAGUCUCUCAGCUCUCACGGAGUCACGGUCUCCCUUCGUUCGGCCUUCGUAAUCGCAGCUCCGCCGUCCGCGUCUCGGUGGCCGGUGGGUGGCAAUCGCCAGUUCUCUACUUCUCUUGCAAACUAUUUGGUACUAAUUACUAAAAGUUUUAACCUUUAUUUUUUCAAGUUUUCUACUGUUUGUGGUUGUGGUCCUUGUGGACAUAUGAAGCUAAAAGCCUAAUAUAUUUGUGUUUCCUUCGUAUUUGGUGGUAACCCGUAACAUCUAUUAGUGAUUCCUUGAAUUCAGGCUUUCCUUUGUCAAUAUGUGAAUUGUAUUAUCAAGAUUCAAGAUGACCCAAGUACCCAACUGUUCUACUAUUAUAUUUUAUUUUAACAAUUAGCCUUAUAUAAGUGUUUACUUGUGUGAUAUUCUAGCUUUUGAUGUUAAGAUUUCAGUAAAUUAAUUUGGGGUGUUUGGUUCUAUUUCCAUACAUGUUCUAUUUCUAUGUACUUCUUCUGUUUGAG
Molecule: long non-coding RNA, 673 nt
Filed under: Panax ginseng (ginseng)
Lineage: Eukaryota; Viridiplantae; Streptophyta; Magnoliopsida; Apiales; Araliaceae
Description: long non-coding RNA (PGIN_LNC019268)
Source: RNAcentral